This is a long non-coding RNA of Hordeum vulgare subsp. vulgare (domesticated barley), 644 nucleotides long. RefSeq lists it as uncharacterized. The transcript has 2 exons. Lineage: Eukaryota; Viridiplantae; Streptophyta; Magnoliopsida; Poales; Poaceae. The record is from RefSeq and is a predicted model, not a curated record.
GGACAAAGAGUUCCUUAUGUGCGUGAAUGAUGCCAAUGUAGCACUCAGUCAUCCCUCAAGAGAAGUUUAGGACAAGGUUCCACAAGUGGGAAGCUAUGCUUUCUUUCCAUGGUGCUCAGUCCAUGGACAUGUUUACAACCGGUACUAGUCGCUCCUCCAGAGCUCGACGUCGUCAUCUCCGCAACGAUGAUACAAAAGAAGAGGAGCAAAUACAAGAGGAGCAGGCACAAGAGCACGAGGUAGAUAUUGAUACCCCCCAGCCUUCAUAGCCGACGCAGCCAAAGAAAAGCAAACAUAAGACACCACGUGCGCCGAGAAAGAAGAAAUUUUAUUCUCGGUUUCAUAGUCCGGAGUAUCCUCAAAACCUUUUGUCUAAGGGGAUGACUAGACAAGAGGAGGAGUGUAGCAAAUAAGAGGUAGGGGAAGAGGGAGAGGAUGAGCAAUGGGAAAAGGAAGUGCCUACAAGAAAGGGGAAAGCCACGAGGAGAGGAAGAAGGAAGUGAGCAAGAACGGUCCUUCAUAGUUCUCAAGUGGCACUUCAUAUGUUGACAAGAACUUGUCGUAUGCUCGUUAAAUUUGUAUGAACUUGUCGUGUAGUGAACUUUUUAUGUUAUCUUGAAUUCGUGAACUUGUUGUGAACUGAA